GCUCUUUUUUGCUGUCAUGGCGGCCUCCGAGAUGGCUAUAAGAGUACAUUUGUGUGGUUCCGGAAUUUAAAUGAAAAUUGGGUGUGGUGUCCCCCAGUUGUGAUCUUGCUCCCUAGAGGCUGAGAAGCUGUGGGCUUGGCAGAAGAAGACGAGUUUCUCUGAUGAAGGAGGUCUAUCUUUAGUCAAAAGUGUGUGAAUAGCUGCCCAUCCCUGCUGGAUCUUCAAGGAGCUCUCAAGAUGGUGUGUUUCUAGAGCUAGACUAUGGGUGGCACUUAGGGGUCCUUGUAGAAGAAGCUCUACUAAAGAGCUGGCUUCUUUGUGUGAAGAGUGGGGCUAUUUGUGUUUGGAUGUAGUAAUGCACAGGCAAAUGCUUGACACGAGAACUCAAUAUUCUUUACUUAUGGUGACCUUACUGCUUAAGGGAAUAAAAGAGUAACUUCUAAUCAAUUUCUAGUGCUAAAGAUUCUAUUUAUUUUAAAUUGGUUUUUCAUCAUAGAACUUUUUCCCCCCUAACCCACAACUUGACAACUGGAUGUAGAAUGAAAUCAAAGCUCAAUGUGUCUGUCCUAGGGGAUGUAGCUCAGUUGACAGAGUGCUUGUCCUAUUAGAUGAAAAGUUCGCUUCCUAGCACAGAGGAAAUGGCUCUGUUGGUACCCAUCUAGGAUUCCAGCAUUCUGGAGCUGGAGGCAGGAGAUAACCAGAAGCUCAAGUGUAGAGAGUUUGGAGCCACCUGGGCUACAUGAAACCCCGCCAAAAACAAAAAAGCAAGCACAGUGUUUUGAAUUAUGAUAAAAUGAAGAUCAGAUAGUACAGAGGAUGGCAGGACUGUUAAGAAGAGGUAAUGAAGGAUCUGGCCCUUGUUUAAAGGUUCAACUGUGAUGUUAUUUUUAAAAACUCCUGACCUCUGUGACAUUUUCCCUAAUUAUGAAAUUUUCCUUUGUACAAUGAACUACUCCUGAUUUUGCUGUGAAAAUUGGAUAUGAAUUUGUAGAUAUUUGUAUCAAGAUGUAGAAAAACUGCCAAUGAACUUCAAUGGAAAUCUGUGAUCCUUGUGUAUUACUACCUUACAGUGCUAUUAAUUCACAUUUUUUACAUUAAAGACUAUUCCCAGCUUUAAAUUUUUAAAUAAAUGAUCCUGAAGUUCAGUG
Molecule: non-coding RNA, 1148 nt
Organism: Cricetulus griseus (Chinese hamster)
Lineage: Eukaryota; Metazoa; Chordata; Mammalia; Rodentia; Cricetidae
Source: RefSeq, a predicted model, not a curated record